AAAGCCGCUCCCAACGGUAGUUGAAUUCCAACGACAGAGUGGUGAGAUAGUUGAGGUUCAAGUGGAUUAUCAUGGUUGCCUCCCACGUGCUUUCAUUGUCAUGAGCUUGGUCAUGUUGUCAGAAAUUGCUUGCUCUUUACACCGCCUAAGGAUCCUCCACUUAAGGAUCUUCCUCCUAUGGCAAGAGCUCCUGGAGAAAAAGCGAAGCAAAAAGUUUCAGAAAACUUGAAAAAAACUCCAGCUACUGCUGCAAAGAGUAAGCAGUAUGUUGUUAAGAAGUCCUUUACACCCAUCAUCACUCAGUCCCCACCAUCUACCCAUUCUGUCUCUCUUCCCACUACCCCUUCAGCAGUUACGUCUCCCUCUUUUGUCCCCACUCCAAUUCAUAAAAUUCCUUCAUCCACUACUGAAACUCCCUCUGACAAGCCAAAAAAGCCCUCACUUAAAAGAACCCGCUCCUCCCCUACGUUCUCCCCCCUGCUCCUCUAAAAGUCACCUAUCAAUCUUUGAAACCAUCCCCUGCCCCACUUUUCCCUGAGAUUGGCACCUUAAACUAUCUUGUUAAUUCCCCUUUCCUUGAUCCCUCUACAAAGAACCUUUUUUUUGCUGCUACUAAAUGAUACUAACCUCUCCAGUCUAUUGGAGAUCCCUUUUUUUCUUCCUAUGAGUGUAAAACUCUUUUUUGGAACCUCUGUGGUUUAAAUGACCCGGCUAAACAUCGGACUUUUUCGGAUUGGCUUUUUAGUUAUAAACCUAUUUUUGGUGCUCUUUUGGAAACACAUAUAAAGGAAGUAUCUCUACCCCUCUUGAUGUCUACUCUAUUUAAAGACUGGCACUAUAUAUCAAAUUACCUAUCUGAUGAGGACGGGAGAAUCGUGCUCAUUUGGACGGACCCUGCAAAAGUUCGAGUCAUCUCACAGUCAAGGCAAAUGAUUACUUGUGAACUAGAGCUUCCUAAUUGCACCCCUAUCAUCUACUCUGCCAUCUAUGCGUCAAAUCUUAGCGAAGAGAGAACUGACCUUUGGGUUGAGCUAUUGAAUGUGCACUCAGCUCAUGCCCUAGACGCAAGGCCAUGGAUGAUAGGAGGCGACUUUAAUCAAAUUCUCCACUGCCAUGAGCAUUCUUCCUUCUCUCACAAUAGACAUGCUCCUCAAAUUUUCCAAUUCCGUGACAGUCUGCUCCAGAUGGGGGUUUUUGAUCUUCGAUUCUAUGGACCUGUUCACACAUGGACAAACAAUCGUAAUGCUACUCCUAUUGCAAAGAAACUUGAUAGAUGCCUAAUCAACAGUGACUAUCUUACCAGUUUCCCUAAUGCCACUGCCACCUUUCUUCCACUGUCCCCCUCUAAUCACACCCUCUGCCUUAUUAACCUUGCUUUCCAACUCCCUAAAGCUGGAACCCAACCCUUUCGGUUCUUAAACUACUUAACCAAACACCCGAGCUUCUUGGAGGUUGUUACUGAUGCGUGGUUGCUCGCCGGAAGUGUGUCUGCCAACCUUGCAACUCUGUGUUGGAAGCUGAAAAGCAUAAAAAGGAGUCUCAAAACUCUUAAUAAAGAAAAUUUCUUAAAUAUCCAACAAAGAGUUAAUGAAUAUUACCGUUUGUUACAACAUGCGCAGGUACAUGCCUUAACAGACCCAACUCCACAAACUUUUGCUGAAGAACACGAACUGAACCUGAAAUGGCAAUUCUUGAGACAGAUUGAGGAAUGCUUCUUUCAACAAAAGUCUAGGAUAACUUGGCUCAGAGAAGGAGAUCUCAACACUACAUAUUUCCACCGUGUUUGCCAGAUGAGAGCAAGCUUUAAUGCCAUUCGCUCGUUCCUCCUACUGUCAGGUGUUACCAUUACCGAUCCAUUGGAGAUGAGCGCUCACGCCAUCUCACAUUUUAAGGCUGUCCUCGGCCCAGACCUCCUCUCCGUGAUAUGGUACUCCUCGUCUAACUGGUUUCAAAGUCUUACACCCUUCACCUGCAGCCAACAGAAGACGAACUCCAUACUCCUGAUGCCUACAAAUGCAGAAAUCACUAAGCUCAUAUUUUCUCUCAACCCAAAUAAAGCGCCAGGGCCUGAUGGACUAACCUAUGGUUUCUUAAAAGCUUCUUGGACACUGCUAGGCACAUAAUGUAUCAACUCAAUACAAGAUUUCUUCAACUCAGGUUUCCUGCCAAAAACCACAAACUCAACAAUAAUGUCUUUGGUUCCUAAAUUCAUAGGUGCAUCUAGAAUAUCAGACUAUCGACCCAUCUCCUGUUUGAAUACGCUUUAUAAAUUUAUAUCACGGCUACUGGUGAGACGUCUUAAGCCUAUUCUACACCAACUAAUCUUGCCAAACCAAACAGCCUUUGUGGAGGGAAGGUUGCUAAUAGAAAAUACAGUAUUGGCGAGCGAACUGGUGAAUGGCUAUCAUAAAAAUAAAGGGUCUAAGAAGAUUACCAUCAAGGUCGAUAUAGCCAAAGCCUUUGACACCUUCUCUUGUGAUUUCAUUUUUGCAGCAUUGGAGAGCCUGCUCCUCCUUGCUCCCUUCAUUCGGCUGCUGAAAGCUUGCAUCUGCACAACAUCAUUUAUGGUGGGGUAUAAUGGCACGGUGAGUUGUUUCUUCAAAGGUAAGAGAGGACUAAGGCAAGCAGACCCACUAUCUCCUUACCUUUUUGUCAUUGCUAUGAACUACCUGUCACUGAUGUUGGAUAAAGAAGCAAGGUCUGGAUAUUUAUCUUACCAUCACCAGUGCCAUAAGACGAAGUUGACACAUCUCUCAUUUGCAGAUGAUCUAUUGAUCUUCAUUGAUGGGUCUCGAGAGUCUGUUCAGAGGGUUCUCCAGAUACUGCAAGAGUUUGAAAAAAGAUCAGGACUAGCGCUGAGCUUACAAAAAUCUAGCUUCUUUGCAUAUGGACUAACAUGAGAAGAAAUUUCUGCAAUACAAGCAUCAACUAGUAUGCCAUGUGGUAGUUUACCUAUGAGAUAUCUCGGGGUCCCAUUAUGUACAAAGACGUUAAACUUGGAGAACUGUGAGCCCCUCCUACAGCAGAUCAAGCAACGUCUCUAAACUUGGUCAGCUAAAGCUCUCUCGUUUGCUGGACGAUUGCUCCUGAUCAAGACGGUGAUAGCUGGAGUCUCUACCUUCUGGUGCUCGAGUUUUAUCCUGCCAAAAUCAUACAUCAAUAGAAUCAAUUCUCUCUGUAGUCUAUUCAUGUGGAAAGGAAGCAGUGAAAAGGCCACAACACAGCACGAGUGAGUUGGGAGACAGUAACACUUACCAAAGAUUAGGGGGGAUUGGUGUCAAAGACCUUCAUAGCUGGAACCUCGCUUGUAUAUUGAAGCUUAUCUGGAUGAUUUUCUUUCGCCCGAACUCUGUGUGGGUCUGUUGGUUCAAGGAGGUAAUUCUAAGAGGAGACAUUUCUAACUACUGGACAAUUAACACAAGCAGUAACUACUCAUGGUUGGUUAACAAGAUGAUUAAGGCUCGUGAUCUCAUUUACCCACUACUGAAACGUCAGAUAGGAAUUAGGGUUUUGUUUACUGAAGCGGCAGUCAGCGUAUCCACAUCUAAGGUGAGCGAAGGUAUAUUGCACCAUACAUGCCUCCAUCGUCUAGACAAGAGGAAAGUACUGGUGGCUAUUUUGAUCGGAAUAUAGCAGAUUAUGUGUUGAAGGAUCACAUCUGGUAAAUUGUUGAUCAUGUCUACUGCUGCUUUGAUUUUCUUGUCGUCGUCCAUCUUCACUUACAACAUAGAUUUGUAGGGCAUAGCUUCUAUUGUAACGAUCCGGUUACAUGAACCGAUAUUAUUUGUUUAAUUUGAAUUAUAAUUAAACAUUAAAAAAGGAAUGCAAAAAAUAAAUAUUAAAAAAAUAAACAAUCCAUGCGUAGCCAGAGACAGUCCAAGUUUGUUUUCAUUAUUUAGACGAACAAGACGUUUGCGAUUGAGAGGACCAAUCAAUCCAGUUUCUUAUGCUCUCUUUCUUUUUUAUUCCUUAAUUUCCAGCUAAGUUAAUAAGUGGGUUAUUGUAUCCUUAUAGAGAAGGGAUCAAUUCCACCAGUUUAUCUAUUUCCAUGUUCAAAAAGUUUAGAUUCUAUGGUUUCUAUAUUUUGAUUUUAAAAAAUAAAUGGAAAACAAGCUAAAAAGAGGUAAUUUUAAUUUGCCCAAAAAAAUUCACGUUGUUUUAACUCUGUCUUGAAUAAUUAGCAAAACAUAUAUGAAAAUGUAUUGAAUACAUGACUAACGCGUGGAUUCCAUAAAUUUUUCAGCUUUAAAAAUGGUUACUCAAACCCUUUAUCCGUCAUGUAAUAAUAUAAUUAUGUUUACAUUAUCCACAGGCAAACCCCAUUGGUAUAACCUAUAUCUAUAUAUUUAAAAUACACAAACAUAUACAUUCAGUAUUUCUAUUUUCAUUAUCAAAGUUUAACAAAAUUCCCCUCAUUCUAUCUCACAAAAACCAAAACAGAACUUACGUAUAUAAAAACAACAUUACAUGAAACAUAAAGUGUGUGUGUUCUCGGUAUAACUAAAGCAUACACUUCGUCUGCAAAAACAAACAAAAUAUAUUUCCAAACGAAACAUCUAUUAUACUAAGAAAAACCUCAUUAUGAGAAUCAUGCAAAUACAAAAAAAUAACAAAUAUUAUUCAGCUCUCAUACAAAUACACACUACACAUUAUUAUACAUGGUUUUUGAAAUAAGUAACAACUCAACGUAAACAAAACAACAAACUUAUCACAAACCAUUGACUCAAAAUGUUAACGCCCCUGAAUAAAUGGACCUUUGAACUAAAUGGUUAAAGAAAUAAAGAAUUUUUUUUUAACUCACCUUCUAUAAGACAUAGCUACAACAACUUAUCCUUACACAAAAUACUACACAAUGAAUAAGGAGCCACUUCUCUCUUAUCAGUUCUCACACCAAACAAAAUCUACAGAAGAAAAUCCAUGACAAACACUAUAAGUCUACAUCCACAGGCCCAACACACAAUAACUCUAUCAUUGAUUUUCAGUUAUCGUCUAUCAUUGACAAUUAAGAUAAUUUAAAAUACUCAACAACUGGGUACAUGGAAUUCAUGCUAACAUACCAUCACAUUCACAACCCAGACUCAACCUUACUUAUUUAAGAGACUACUGAAUACGUGAUGAAUAAGCUACCAAACGGCUACAAUACCAUAAGUAAUGAUCUCCAAGUUACUCUUACCAUCAGGGACUACAACCAAAACGCAACUGCAAGACUUGACGUCGAUCUUAUCAUCACAGAUCUAGAGGAAACAAAUAGGCCUCCAACUACAAAAGAAAAAAACGAUAUAUGCACUAUAUGCUUCGAAAAUUACAACUACGGAAACAAACUAUAUGCUUUCUUACUAUCUAUCUACAUUACUUAAACCAUAAAACCAUUAGCAAGACCAUAGAUCCAUAUAUUGCUUCAUCAUCUAACAUAUAACUAAAACUUUCAAAAUACUACCUAUCAAUAAAAAUAUGGUACAUCAAAAAAGUUCAAAUUACAACAAAAAACAGCCGCCCCGCGCGUAGCGCAGACAGACCACUAGUAGUCUAGUAAAGCAAGGAGAAUUAAUUUGUUAGACUGAUAUGGAUUCUAAGGCUGCCACUUCAGCAUGCUUGUAAUUAAGUUACACAUUAAAGAUUACUCCUUUAAAUAUUUCUCUGUUAGCAAUAAGGGGAUUAUAUACACCAUUAUAAUUAUUUACCAUCUUACCAUGUAUACAAAACGAUUUAUUAUACAUUACAUUAAAAUUUUAAUCCAAAAAACAAAAAAACUAUGUAUUGAUGCACAUGUCAUAUUCUAAAAAUGGCGAUGAUACAAUUGACGAUGUACAUGAUAAAAUAAAAUUAAUCAUAUAAACUAUAAAAUUAUUAUGUUUAUAAAUUUCAUAUUAAAUAAAUAUUUACACGGGAAAAACUGUAGAAUAUAUAUUAUCACUUAGACAAAAUAAAUAUUUAUUUCUGAAAACAAUAAAAAAUGCAUACAGGCGUUGUUUAAAUAUACACAAACUUAAACCGAUUUAUAAUUUCUUAUAAGUUUCAUCAAAUUUAUAUUUUCAUUUUAUUUUCUUACAAAUUUAAGUCUUAAUUUUAUAUGUUCCAAAUUUGAUAGAAGUUUAACAACUAUUUUCUUACAAAUGUUAUAUUUUUUUUUUGUUGAAAUUUUUAAAUUGAUUAUCAACAAAAGAAAAAAAUUACAGGCCACUCAGGUUUAUGCUUUCAGAGAAACAAACACAAAUUUUCCAGAAAAAAAUUAAGUUACGAUUGCUGAGAAGAGGUCCGAGCUAGCCAUCUCUGCAUCAUGUCGCUGUAGAAGCUUGGCUUCCGCUUUCGUAGGGAGGAGAUCCUGUUCCUAAUGGUCUUGUCGAUAUAUCGGACCAUUUGGGCUGCGCUAAGGGGAUUUCCCUGGUGGCGUCUGGUGUUCCUCUCGCGCCAGAGACUAUAGAUACUAUCUUGGAGAGCAAGCUUCAGGAGACAUGUAUCAAUCUCCCUCCGGCGAGGGGACAUGAUCGAUGCGACGGUGAUAGCCCAGUCGGGGUUCACACGAGAGCCCAAUAGGAAACCUACUAGCUCGAUCCAUACCGUAAAGGAGUAAGGGCAGGCGAAGAACAAGUGGUCGCGAGUCUCGUCCGGUUCCCCGCAGAGGAGGCACGGUUGCUCACAACCCCAAGCUCGACUCCUAGCUCCUGUAGAUAGUCUGUCCUGAAAAGCUAACCACGUGAUGAAAGCAAACCGAGGAAUGCUUUGUUGAAACCAGACAGCUUUGCACCAAGAGAGUUCUGGGUGGUGGACCCGUAGUUGCUCCCAUGUUGCUUUGCUAGAGAAGACCGGUUUGUACUCCUCAUCUCCGUGGCGCCAUAGACGACGAUCGGCAGCCGCGUCCUCCGCCGGAGCUGGAACAGAGUUGAUGCAGGCUAUCAUCGCCCGUAGGUAAUAGCCACGACACCGACGAAUGUUCCAUUGUCCCCCAGAGGCCGCUUUUGAGACCGUCGCAUAGCGAGGGAUGCCUAAAACUUGUGUUCCUAUAUCUCCUGUAAUAUUGAGAAGCUUCCCAACUCUAAGCCAAUUAUCAAACCAGAAUAAGGUGGCCUUACCAUUACCUAUCUCAGACCGUAAAAAUGAAGCAGCGUGGUCCCUAAGCUUCAACAGCUUGCGCCAUAUCCAAGAGCCUGCAAAAGCUGUGAGAAUGCAACAAGUAAGCCUUCACCCAGGCUACCCACAGAGAACCAGAAUUAGUGAGCAAUCGCCAUAUCAAGCUAAGCGCAAAGACUCGUAAAGUGUCUGUGAGGCGUCGUAUGCCCAAACCUCCCUCAGUCUUCGGUCUGCAAACAUCAUCCCAAGAAACCUUUGCCUUCGUAUGCGUAUUUGGCGACCCAGACCAUAAGAAUGCAGCACACAUCCCUUCAAUGGUACUCAGACAUCUCUUGGGAAGACGAAAGACAGAGCACCAGAAGUUUGUAAUACUGCCAAUGACUGUUAUAACAAGCUGGAGACGACCUGCAUAGGAUAGAGAACGACUAGACCAUGACACAAGACGCGUGCGGAUCUGAUCAAUCAAUGGUUCAUAAUCUGUUCUGGUCAUUGUUUUUGUGGUAAGAGGAAGACUGAGAUAUCUCACAGGUAGGGACUCUAUUGGUAUGCCUAGCCGUAGGACCUCAUCCUUAAAUUCCUGAGUAAUACGGCCGGCCAUGAAGAUAGAAGAUUUUGCUGGGUUUAUCACCAAGCCGGAGACGCUUGCGAAAUCUGAGAGGACCUCAAACACA
RNAcentral lists this long non-coding RNA (7739 nucleotides) under Brassica napus (rape). RNAcentral's name for it is "long non-coding RNA (BNAP_LNC005213)". Lineage: Eukaryota; Viridiplantae; Streptophyta; Magnoliopsida; Brassicales; Brassicaceae. The record is from RNAcentral.